AUUUAUAUAGUUUAGUAAAAACAUUACAUUUUCAUUGUAAAAUCAAAACAUAAUUUUUAUAAAUA
RNAcentral lists this transfer RNA (65 nucleotides) under Habeshaselasia illubaborensis. RNAcentral's name for it is "tRNA-Glu". The record is from RNAcentral. Lineage: Eukaryota; Metazoa; Arthropoda; Insecta; Coleoptera; Elateridae.